RNAcentral lists this ribosomal RNA (532 nucleotides) under uncultured fungus. RNAcentral's name for it is "SSU rRNA". It matches the Rfam family "Eukaryotic small subunit ribosomal RNA", at positions 109 to 644 of the family's 1831-position model. The record is from RNAcentral. Lineage: Eukaryota; Fungi.
GUUAUCGUUUAUUUGAUAGUACCUUACUACUUGGAUAACCGUGGUAAUUCUAGAGCUAAUACAUGCUGAAAACCCCAACUUCGGGAGGGGUGUAUUUAUUAGAUAAAAAACCAACGCCCUUCGGGGCUUCUUGGUGAUUCAUGAUAACUUCACGGAUCGCAUGGCCUUGCGCCGGCGACGGUUCAUUCAAAUUUCUGCCCUAUCAACUUUCGAUGGUAAGGUAUUGGCUUACCAUGGUUUCAACGGGUAACGGGGAAUUAGGGUUCGAUUCCGGAGAGGGAGCCUGAGAAACGGCUACCACAUCCAAGGAAGGCAGCAGGCGCGCAAAUUACCCAAUCCCGACACGGGGAGGUGGUGACAAUAAAUACUGAUACAGGGCUCUUUUGGGUCUUGUAAUUGGAAUGAGUACAAUUUAAACCUCUUAACGAGGAACAAUUGGAGGGCAAGUCUGGUGCCAGCAGCCGCGGUAAUUCCAGCUCCAAUAGCGUAUAUUAAAGUUGUUGCAGUUAAAAAGCUCGUAGUUGAAACUUGG